GACGAACGCUGGCGGCGUGCUUAACACAUGCAAGUCGAACGGAAAGGCCCUGCUUUUGUGGGGUGCUCGAGUGGCGAACGGGUGAGUAACACGUGAGUAACCUGCCCUUGACUUUGGGAUAACUUCAGGAAACUGGGGCUAAUACCGGAUAGGAGCUCCUGCUGCAUGGUGGGGGUUGGAAAGUUUCGGCCGUUGGGGAUGGACUCGCGGCUUAUCAGCUUGUUGGUGGGGUAGUGGCUUACCAAGGCUUUGACGGGUAGCCGGCCUGAGAGGGUGACCGGCCACAUUGGGACUGAGAUACGGCCCAGACUCCUACGGGAGGCAGCAGUGGGGAAUAUUGCACAAUGGACGGAAGCCUGAUGCAGCAACGCCGCGUGCGGGAUGACGGCCUUCGGGUUGUAAACCGCUUUCGCCUGUGACGAAGCGUGAGUGACGGUAAUGGGUAAAGAAGCACCGGCUAACUACGUG
Molecule: ribosomal RNA, 468 nt
Filed under: uncultured bacterium
Lineage: Bacteria
Description: partial 16S ribosomal RNA
Rfam family: Bacterial small subunit ribosomal RNA
Source: RNAcentral